Molecule: long non-coding RNA, 1665 nt
Filed under: Megachile rotundata (alfalfa leafcutting bee)
Lineage: Eukaryota; Metazoa; Arthropoda; Insecta; Hymenoptera; Megachilidae
Description: uncharacterized LOC105664303
Source: RNAcentral
GGUUAAUUUACUUUAGCUCCUCCACAUACGAACAUUCGUUCAUUAGUUUUAUAAACUUAUUGAUACGAACGUUUUAAUCACAUGGCAAGAUGCAACAAUGUUCCAACGAUUCUGUUUUUGCAGUGCAAAACUGUCAGAGGAAGGAAUUUUCACUUGUAAAAAUUAAUGGCCAUUACGUUGAUACACUGAGCGUCAUACCAAUUGUCGUAAUAGAAGUUGAUACAAACAAAAGCGGAGUUUUAACGCUUUCUGUUGUUCCUCGCUUGAGAAAAUGUGAAAUUUUAAUACCUUAACUACCCCUUGUGCAAACAUUACCGGUGCAGAGUGACGUACAGGGUGUUCUAAAACGGCGUACAUUUGUCAAACGUUUCCUCGUCUUUCAAUUUGUAAAACAUUUUUCUUUCAGCGAUAAUGUUGAAUACGAUCUACAGUUUAUAAUAUGGUGAAUUUAAAUAAAACGAUAAUUCAUUCAAAACGAUUCGCUAUUAAACUUGAUUUCGUGCUCUUCACGAGGGUAUCUUUACAGAAAAUGUUUGCAGGACUUCCGAAUUAAUAAAACAAUUAUUUCAAGCGGAAGAUUGUAUGAAACGAAUGUUAUGAAACGUUCAUCGGAAUGUGCAAAUUGAAAUUCGAAGGAGUAUUUUUUUUAGAAGGCACUUCGCACCGGAAACGCGGAAAAGAUAGAAAUCGCCAUAAAUUACAAUCGAUGCCUGGAUACCAAACGAACCAGUGUUUCGCGAAGUUGGAGACGAUAAAGGAGAACAGGAAGAAGAGUCGACGAGGAAUCGCGGCGAUAUUUUUUUCACCCUCGUAAAUAUUCCCUUGAAGCGGGCAUAUUAGCAAGCGGUACGUUCUUGGCAAGAAGCCGCUGUUAGUGACAGGGCAUUCAUAUUAGCGAACGACCGCACGUUGCCCGCUCUUUCUCUUCUUCUGCUUCAAGCAAUGGAAACGGUACACGAGCUCUGUCGUCCUCCUCUCGAGCAAACGAAGUGGAAGGCCGCUGAUUGGUAAUCGUUAAUUACGCCCGUAACUUCCUCCAGAGGAACUCCUAUUUCGACAGUUUUUAAAAUAUCGGCACUUUUGGCGGAGAUAGGGAGAAAGGGGGACGAGAAUGGCGGAUCGGAGAGAAAGUGGAGUCGAGAGAGGAUAUCGUGGACAAGAACGUAUUGAUCGAGUUAUAGUCUUUGGGGUCUCGAGCCUCUAACACGAGGGAGCCAAUGAGAGAUCUGGAGGGUGAAUUUAGAGCAAGAAUGGCGACCGAAGGUCCCUAUCGAAACGAACCCCUUUGCACAGUAGGGCAAAACCACAAGAAAUGGGGAACAAAUUUAACACGCCACUUUUUUCGAUCAAAAUGUCGAAUCCUGUUAACCCUUGUAACCGUUGCGUAUCUUCACUUGCUGUACCUUGUUUUAAAUUUGUAUAUUCCAGGAUCCAUUGAAAUAUAUUUGUAAUUUAGUAAAUCCAUUCAUUAAUUCUACACUGCUUCAAAUUUAUAAUUCUAGCAAAUUUUCAUUUUUGAAAAUAAAAUUGGUUUAUUUGGAAUUGUAUGGUUCACGUUGAAUUUCUAUGCCGCCAUUUUCUCUGAGAAAGUACACCGGGUUCGAUACUAUACUUUCGAGCAACAUGAAUAUGCAACAAACUGUGUUAAUAUAUGGUUUAAAUUAA